Molecule: ribosomal RNA, 795 nt
Filed under: uncultured bacterium
Lineage: Bacteria
Description: bacterial SSU rRNA
Rfam family: Bacterial small subunit ribosomal RNA
Source: RNAcentral
AGAGUUUGAUCAUGGCUCAGAUUGAACGCUGGCGGCAUGCCUUACACAUGCAAGUCGAACGGCAGCACGGGGGCAACCCUGGUGGCGAGUGGCGAACGGGUGAGUAAUACAUCGGAACGUGUCCUGUUGUGGGGGAUAACCCACCGAAAAGGUGAGCUAAUACCGCAUGACCUGGAAACAGUAAAGCGGGGGGACCGCAAGGCCUCGCGCGAUUGGAGCGGCCGAUGUCCGAUUAGCUAGUUGGUGGGGUAAAGGCCCACCAAGGCGACGAUCGGUAGCUGGUCUGAGAGGAUGAUCAGCCACACUGGGACUGAGACACGGCCCAGACUCCUACGGGAGGCAGCAGUGGGGAAUUUUGGACAAUGGGGGCAACCCUGAUCCAGCCAUGCCGCGUGAGUGAAGAAGGCCUUCGGGUUGUAAAGCUCUUUCGGUGGGAACGAAACGGUUCGUGCUAACACCACGGACUAAUGACGGUACUCACAGAAGAAGCACCGGCUAACUACGUGCCAGCAGCCGCGGUAAUACGUAGGGUGCGAGCGUUAAUCGGAAUUACUGGGCGUAAAGCGUGCGCAGGCGGUUAUUUAAGUCAGGUGUGAAAUCCCUGGGCUUAACCUAGGAAUUGCGCUUGAGACUGGAUAGCUUGGAGUGUGGCAGAGGGAGGUGGAAUUCCCGUGUAGCAGUGAAAUGCGUAGAGAUGUGGAGGAACACCGAUGGCGAAGGCAGCCUCCUGGGCCAGCACUGACGCUCAUGCACGAAAGCGUGGGGAGCAAACAGGAUUAGAUACCCUAGUAGUCC